This 501-nucleotide ribosomal RNA is filed under the name uncultured bacterium. RNAcentral describes it as "partial 16S ribosomal RNA". It matches the Rfam family "Bacterial small subunit ribosomal RNA", at positions 30 to 523 of the family's 1533-position model. The record is from RNAcentral.
AUUGAACGCUGGCGGCAUGCCUUACACAUGCAAGUCGAACGGCAGCACGGGUGCUUGCACCUGGUGGCGAGUGGCGAACGGGUGAGUAAUACAUCGGAACGUACCUUAUCGUGUGGGAUAACGCAGCGAAAGCUGUGCUAAUACCGCAUACGCCCUGAGGGGGAAAGCGGGGGAUCGCAAGACCUCGCGCGAUUAGAGCGGCCGAUGCCUGAUUAGCUUGUUGGUGGGGUAAAAGCCCACCAAGGCGACGAUCAGUAGCUGGUCUGAGAGGACGAUCAGCCACACUGGGACUAAGACACGGCCCAGACUCCUACGGGAGGCAGCAGUGGGGAAUUUUGGACAAUGGGGGCAACCCUGAUCCAGCAAUGCCGCGUGAGUGAAGAAGGCCUUCGGGUUGUAAAGCUCUUUUGUCAGGGAAGAAACACCGGCUCUAACACAGUCCGGGAAUGACGGUACCUGAAGAAUAAGCACCGGCUAACUACGUGCCAGCAGCCGCGGUAA